This 303-nucleotide ribosomal RNA is filed under the name uncultured bacterium. RNAcentral describes it as "partial 16S ribosomal RNA". It matches the Rfam family "Bacterial small subunit ribosomal RNA", at positions 507 to 807 of the family's 1533-position model. The record is from RNAcentral.
AGCAGCCGCCGCGGUAAUACGAAGGGUGCAAGCGUUAAUCGGAAUUACUGGGCGUAAAGCGUGCGUAGGCGGUGAGUUAAGUCUGCUGUGAAAUCCCCGGGCUCAACCUGGGAAUGGCAGUGGAUACUGGCUCGCUAGAGUGUGUCAGAGGAUGGUGGAAUUCCCGGUGUAGCGGUGAAAUGCGUAGAGGUCGGGAGGAACAUCAGUGGCGAAGGCGGCCAUCUGGGACAACACUGACGCUGAGGCACGAAAGCGUGGGGAGCAAACAGGAUUAGAUACCCCAGUAGUCCCUGUCUCUUAUAC